Molecule: non-coding RNA, 204 nt
Organism: Oryza barthii
Lineage: Eukaryota; Viridiplantae; Streptophyta; Magnoliopsida; Poales; Poaceae
Source: Rfam
UUUAAGUGGAGUUGUAAUUUUAACAUAUCUAAUAUUUGUUUGUCCGUUUUAUUUGAAUGUUUUUUAAUUAGUAUUUUUAUUACUAUUAUAUGAUAAAACAUGAAUAGUACUUUAUGCGUGAGUUAUUUUUUUAUUUUUUCAUAAAUUUUUUAAAUAAGACGGAUAAUCAAAUAUUGGAUAUAGAAACCCACAACUACAUUUAAA